Danio rerio (zebrafish) is the source of this 117-nucleotide ribosomal RNA. NCBI's taxonomy places the organism in Eukaryota, Metazoa, Chordata, Actinopteri, Cypriniformes, Danionidae. The record is from Ensembl.
UGCCACAGACAUAUCACCCUGCAGCCCAAGACUGGUUACUCUCUGAAGCUAAGCGGGGCUGAGCCUGGUCAGUAACGGGAUGGGAGACCACAAGGGAAAGCUAGGUUACUGUUGGAA